AGAAGUUCGUGGGUCAUUUAACUGUAAACGCCUAAAUUUUAAGAGAGCCCUUACUCUUAUACAGUGAAUUUGGAGGACUGGCUUAGGACAAGGCCCUCUAUGUUCAGAAUGUUUAUCACUUUUCUCUCUUUUUUUUUUUUUUUUUUGACAACGAAGUUUCGCUCUUGUUGCCCAUGCUGGAGUGCAGGGGCGCGAUCUGCCCGUCUAAUUUUUGUAUUUUUAGUAGAGAUGGGGUUUCACCAUGUUGGCCAGGCUCUCAAACCCCUGACCUAGUGAUCCUCCCGCCUCUGCCGCCCAAAUUCCUGGGAUUGCAGUAGUGAGCCACCGCGCCCGGCCUAUUUUUUUCAGUCUUAUCUUCUCUACCUCACCACCUCACAGUAAAGCAUAUAGGUUCGACAACAUCACCAAGGACCAAACAUUGUGGUAGAUGUACAUGCAAUGUACAUGCAGAGUACAGGUUGAUGCCUGAAUAAAGAGAUGCUGGGUGAGUGUCUGAACCUAGAUGACAUGGAGGAGUCCUGCAGAAAAUAUUUGCUAUUGAAUUCAAAGGUCUAUAGAGAGUUCUCAACUAAUGAAAAAUCAUUGCAUUAUCUUGAGAGCAAUAGCAAUGAUCAUGCCAACAGUAAUUCAGACUGUGUCAUAAGUUGGGUCACACAGUCCCUAUUUUCAAACUUUGUGGAUGUCUGUCAACUGGCAGUGAAUUGUAUUCAGGAGAAAAGAAGUCUAAAGGAAUGACAGGCAUUUCAUCAGCAACUCCAGGAUGGCAGGCCGUUAUCCUGAAACCUAUCAGAACAGCUCCUGCUUGGCUUCCAAAAUAUCACAAUUUUGGAAAUGUACAAAGGUUGAAGAGUGCUCUGGCUGUAGAGGGUCCCCACGAUCUGUCAUCUAGUAACUCACCAGAUACAUAAGAUAUUUUGCCUGCUAUGAAGCCAUUGGAGAAUCAGGUCCAGCUGUGUCCUACAGAUUUAUACCCUCACUUUGGAUGCACUGUGAAUCUUGAAACAAUUCAUUUUAUACUUAACCCUUUAAGUAUAAAGUAUAUACUUCAAGUAUAAAGUGUAAGGUUGCUUCAUUUCAUGGGCCCACCCAGGAUUUAAAGGUGUAUUCCCUGAAAGAAUUGGUUCCUUCCGGUGGGUUCCUGGCUGACUUCAAGAAUGAAGCUGCAGACACUUAUGGACUGGGAGGAGGCCCACGAGAAAAACAGGAAGAACAAGAGAAAGGCUGAGGCUCUAGUGGCUGCUUUGCAGACUUGCAGAGUCCAGGAUCCCCCAGGAACUUCCACUGAUUGCUACCUGUUACCAGUGUUAAAGCCAGGGCACUUUAAGAAGAAUUGCCCAAGCCACAAGAAAAAGCCACCUUGACCACUUUUGUGGUGAAGACCACUGGAGAUUGCACUACUGACCACCAAGACAGAGGUCAGUGAGUACGGAAUCAUUCUCACAGAUGCUCCAGCAGGACUGAUGGGUUCUGGGGCUGAAACCCCUGGUUCCAAUGGUUCAAACAUCCAUUACUGCUCAGGAGUCCUGGGUGAUAAUGGAAAUUGAAGGGAGGAGGGCAAGCCUCCCACUGGAUUCUGGAGCCAGUCUUUCUGUUCUCCUCACCAAUCCAUGCCUCUCCUCUUCCCAUGUCACAACAAUGGUGGGUGUCUUAAAAAAGACUCUAACUUGA
Homo sapiens (human) is the source of this 1668-nucleotide long non-coding RNA. Ensembl annotates it as testis expressed transcript, Y-linked 10. Its record names the gene TTTY10. Lineage: Eukaryota; Metazoa; Chordata; Mammalia; Primates; Hominidae. The record is from Ensembl.